UGUCGAUUUGAUGCUUAUUUUACUGGCAUGAAGAAUGCAAGCUUAUAGGCACAGGAAGGUUUCCACUCAGAUUUUAAAGGAAGACCUGGGGAGCAGGAAAGGGGCUCCUGUGAAGGCAAAGGUGCAGUAGAGAUCCAGGAGACACCAGUAACUUAGACUAUCGUUCAUGGAUAGCUGUAGACUGUGAGUGAAACCAGCCUGAUAGAAAGGCCCUGUGGGCUUCAACUAUCAAAGUCAUGAGGAUAGGGCCAUCCAAAUCUGUAAUGCAAUUUUAUCACCAUAUAUCCUGGAUAUCAAAUAUGGAGCCACAGGUUUAAUUGUUGCUCUGCUAGUCUUUGGUCUUGCAUUGAGCAUUUUAAAAAUCUAUGUCCUUAUUACAGUAAAAUCUCAACUCACAAACACUUGAGUUGUGGAUUUUAACAGGUGUAUUGUUAAGAUUUACUGUCAGAUUAUGAACAAGUCUGACAGGUGUAUUGUGUAAGAUUUACUUUGUCAGAUUAUGAACAAAUUUGAUGUAGUUAAGAACAUCCUCCCCUGACAGAGCUCACAAGUCAGGGAUUUACUGUACUGUCUUUUGGAAUGAGAAAGUUUACCCUGUACCAUUCUACCUUGGAAUUAUGCAAGUUGCAUUUGAUUUUUGCAGAGGAUCCACACCUAAGAGUUUGCCCUUAGUCUCAGAAAAGUCUUUCACUUGAACUUUUGAAAAAAGUGUAACAGAUUGAGUAUUUGGGGAAGUGAUUAUUGAAUUUCUAGGUUAUUCAGAAUAGUUAUAUUAGUCAUAAAUGUUAUUUGGUAUUUUCUUCAUUUGGCAAUUAAGUAUGGUUUAAGGUGAUGUGCCUGGGUAUAAAGUUUACAUGGGUUGUACUAUGACUACUGCUCCUGAUAUGUAACACUUCACUGGAUUUAGAAAUGCUAAGGAGAUUAGUGCAGCAUACUCCUGGGUAUGUAUGUAUGGGUCAUGGAGAUAUAAUCCUGGGUGCUGUAUGAUCCCUGGCUUUUUAUCUCUAGUGUUCUCUUUGCUCUGCUCUCUGACCGUUAUGAAUUAAGCCACUUUGCUCUGCUGUGCCAUCCCAUAAUCAUGUUCUCUUUCGGCACCAACUGAAUGUGAACAGAAUUCUCCCAGCCUAUGAGCUAAAUUAAACAUAAAUUAAAUUAAACAUUUCCUUCUUUAAAAUUGCAGGUGUCAAAUAUCAUGUCCUAGCAACAGAAGAGCCAGUGUGAUACGCCAGUUAUGUUCACACAUUCUGACUGGUCGGCAUGGUGGUUGCUGAAGUUGGCAGUGGUGGUGGAAAUUUCUUAAAAUUAAGCAAUGUGAAGCUGUUGGGUGCAGGCGCUCAACAUACCAUACCCCACCCGGGACUAAGGACCACGCCAGCUUCCGCAAUGCGCUACGUCUCUCUUUAAAUUAGCCAACCCGUGCGCACUUCGUGCUCACUCCGUACUCUGUGGCAACUCCUGAUUGGCCACAGCUGGCUAUAGUAGCCAGAGCCUGCAUCCCAUUCCCACCCUGCUUCCUCGUGGCAGCCUGUGAUUGGUCACGGCCAAAUAUAUAAACCAGAGCCCGCGUAAAUAAACCAGCAGUUAACUGUCGUCCACAAGAGCGUCUCCUGUUUCACUGGGGCUGCGCCGGUCAACUGGUGGCCCGUAUGGGGAGCGCUGAGACCCUCUCUCCGACAGUACGGGGAACGCUGAGACCCUCUCUCCGACAGUACAGGGAACGAGACUCUCUCUCCGACGGAACAGAGACGUUAACAGCUGUUGUUAUGCAGGUACUCCAGUUCGUACCGAUGCCAGUUAUGGCGGACUCAGACGAGUUUCCUGUGAUCCAGCUCGGGCCAACUCUCCAAUUGGCUUUCAUAAAGGAAUGGGCAGGAACAGGGGCUCUGGCUACCAUGACUACACUUGCCGCAUUCCGCAGUCUACUUCUGCUCUGUCAGAUUCGCAGACAAAGGAAUAGGGACAAAGUAUCAAACAAGCAUUGCUGAUCAUGGAAUCUGGUCAAAGCCCGGCAGCAUGGCUCGCCAUGCUGUGACGCAGGUGUGGAGCAAAGCAUCGCAGGGGGUGUCGUCCUUGGCCAGGAGACACCCCGGUCCCCAUGUUGGUGAGCAUGUGGGUUGGGCUCAUAAAACAAUACUCCCGCCCCCUCCAAAAGAGCACCAACGAGUAGUGAGGCACUGUCAUGACUGCAGCGUGACACCUCACGAGGGGCGCCGACCUCUGGAGACCCUGCGUCAGUUAUAAAGAAAGGGGGAGAUGUUGGGCGCAGGCGCUCAACAUACCAUACCCCACCCAGGACUAAGGACCACGCCAGCUUCCGCAAUGCGCUACGUCCCUCUUUAAAUUAGCCAACCCGUGCGCACUUCGUGCUCACUCCGUACUCUGUGGCAACUCCUGAUUGGCCACAGCUGGAUAUGGUAGCCAGAGCCUGCAUCCCAUUCCCGCCCUGCUUCCUCGUGGCAGCCUGUGAUUGGUCACGGCCAAAUAUAUAAACCAGAGCCCGCGUGAAUAAACCAGCAGUUAACUGUCGUCCACAA
This is a long non-coding RNA of Cavia porcellus (domestic guinea pig), 2534 nucleotides long. RefSeq lists it as uncharacterized. Lineage: Eukaryota; Metazoa; Chordata; Mammalia; Rodentia; Caviidae. The transcript is spliced from 2 exons. The record is from RefSeq and is a predicted model, not a curated record.